Molecule: long non-coding RNA, 1188 nt
Organism: Oncorhynchus nerka (sockeye salmon)
Lineage: Eukaryota; Metazoa; Chordata; Actinopteri; Salmoniformes; Salmonidae
Exons: 2
Source: RefSeq, a predicted model, not a curated record
CACUAGUACUAGAGGAAGGAGGGUCCCUAAACCUUAGUUAGACUGAUAUAGUCUCUCUACUACCUCACCCAUCCACUAGUACUAGAGGAAGGAGGGUCCCUAAACCUUAGUUAGACUGAUAUAGUCUCUUUACUACCUCACCCAUCCACUAGUACUAGAGGAAGGAGGGUUCCACUAUGAAAAAGGCCUAUCAGUACCUCCACAGUGGUAAGGUGGGCCGAGUUCUUCUUCACCAGGAGGAGGGAAAAGGAUUGGUCAUUUUUGAAGGCCGAUAUUCAGCCCAGCCAAUCAAUCAGCUCCUACCACUCUGCUUGGGAACUUGUAUCCAACAACGGAUCAGUAGAGACGGCUGGAUGUCCUUGCAUCGCUGGCCUUGGAAAGUCAUGCAGCCUCCAUUUUGUGGAAGCAGAACUGCCGUGUUAAUGUGGGGAAUCAGUAAGUAUCCUGUCCAAUCUCAUGUUGAGGAAGCAAGGCAGGUUUAUGGAGUCCAGGUGAGUAGGGGAUAACAUUUAUUUAAACAUGUCAGCAUCACAUUUCUUUAGUGUUAUUAGUCUUUAGUGUUAUUGUUUUUUCUGGGUGAAUAAGGUUUGUAAAAUAUCAUUGUGGUUGGGGGUAAUGCCUAAAGUAUGGUAAGUAUAAGUGGCCUCAUCUCAUUGGGAACAAUAUCAAGGUAAGUUUAUGAUGAAACUUGCAUGUGUUUUGAUUAAGUUGAUCACAUAGUCCUCAGUCACACAAUUGUUAAUAAUGGGAUUUUCUCUGAAUGUCUUUUUGUAACAAACAUUCUAUCACAGGUGCAGGGUGUCCAGUGGGCUAACUGGCAUAGCCUGCACAGAUGAGCAGCGACAAUGGAAUGCAGGGACUCGGAGGAACCUUGAGCCAAAGCGGAUAAACAGCAUUGACUUCACACACCAUAAGGCCAGUGACCAACAUGCAGAAAAGCGUCCAGAAUGUCCAAGCCUGCCUCCCACCCCUGCCUCCCACGCCUGCAUUUCCACCGUCACGUGCAUCAGCAAUUAUUGGACUCAUCUGGACUCAAUCACCUCUGUCAUUACCUCCCCUAUAUCUGUCUGGUUCCUCGCUCUAUUCCCUGCUGCAGCAUUCAUUGUCAUAUGUCCUUGUUUACCCGUGUGCUGACGCUGGUCCUGGUUUGUUACCUGUCUGUUCCUUAUUAAAUGUCAACUCCCCGUA